UACAGAGGGGGCAAGCGUUGUUCGGAAUUACUGGGCGUAAGGGGCGCGUAGGCGGCCUGCUAAGUCGAACGUGAAAUCCCUCAGCUUAACUGGGGAACUGCGUGUGAUACUGGAUGGCUUGGAUUUGGGAGAGGGAUGCGGAAUUCCAGGUGUAGCGGUGAAAUGCGUAGAUAUCUGGAGGAACACCGGUGGCGAAGGCGGCAUCCUGGACCAAUAUUGACGCUGAGGAGCGAAAGCCAGGGGAGCAAACGGG
Molecule: ribosomal RNA, 253 nt
Filed under: uncultured bacterium
Lineage: Bacteria
Description: partial 16S ribosomal RNA
Rfam family: Bacterial small subunit ribosomal RNA
Source: RNAcentral